RNAcentral lists this ribosomal RNA (1185 nucleotides) under Triticum aestivum (bread wheat). Its description in RNAcentral is "partial small subunit ribosomal RNA". Lineage: Eukaryota; Viridiplantae; Streptophyta; Magnoliopsida; Poales; Poaceae. The record is from RNAcentral.
AUGGAGGCCAAGCCAGGGGAAGCGAGCUCUCCGACCGCAACUGCGGCUGCGGCUGCACCGGUAGCAGCAGCGGCGGUGCCGGAGGCUACGGUGAGCUUCCAGUCGCCGGCAUCUGUGCCGCCUCCGGCAGCUUCACAUGCACCUGUACCGUCUCCGGUGGAGAUGGUUAGCUCGAGUGGCCUGUUUGUGCCGCCGGGUAUGAUGACGGCGAUGGUGGCGGCCGCAGGAAGAGGGGCUCUGUCCGCGGGGCCGUUGGUGAAGGUGGGGAAGAAGCGGGGGAGGCCAAGGAAGUACGGGCCUGACGGGAGCCUGAUCCAGCCGUUGAACGCCACGCCGAUCUCCGCGUCGGCUCCGAUGUCGGCCGCCGUCGCAGCGGGGCAGUACACGCCUGCGGCCGCGGUUGGCGCCGCCAUGAAGCGCGGGAGGGGCCGGCCCCUCGACUUCGCCGCCGCGGCGGCCAAGCCGUACCACCACCAGCUGCAGCAGCCGGCGCAGCAGCAGUUCGGUUUCCACUUCAGCUCCAUUGGUGACAUGGUGGCUUGUUCUGCUGGUGGGAAUUUCACUCCUCAUAUCAUUACUGUUGCUCCUGGUGAGGAUGUGACGAUGAAGGUUAUAUCAUUUUCUCAACAAGGACCGCGAGCUAUUUGUAUUCUCUCUGCUAACGGUGUGAUAUCAAAUGUUACACUUCGUCAACCGGACUCCUCUGGCGGCACGUUAACUUAUGAGGGACGCUUUGAGUUGCUGUCCUUGUCUGGUUCCUUCAUGCCAACUGAAAAUAGUGGCACACGAAGUCGGUCAGGCGGAAUGAGUGUUUCUCUUGCCAGCCCAGAUGGUCGUGUUGUCGGUGGUGGAGUUGCUGGCCUUCUGGUAGCGGCUAGUCCUGUUCAGAUUGUCGUGGGAAGCUUCCUGCCAAGCUAUCCGAUGGAGCCGAAGCAGAAGAAGGCAAGGGUGGUCGCGGCACCAACCCUUAGCCAGGCCCCCCCUGCUGUUCGGCUCUCUAGUGCGGAUACGCACAGCAGCGAGCAAGGGCAUCACAGCUUGGCCGCCCCGAGAAUGAACGUUGUAACUUCUUCAGCGUACAGCGCAGACCAGAACUGGGCAUCCACGGUUGUUCAGUCAGCUCCUGCCGAGGCAUCAAGAAGCGCAUCGUCGGGCGAUCUGAACCUCACUGCCUCUGGAUCCUGA